AGCGCCUGCAGGAGAAUCAUUUCUAUAGUAUUCGACCUUCUCUUGGUUCCCUACAAGAGCCACAGAACCUACCCUGGUUGAUGAGUGUAUAUCCUCGACGCCCUAGAGUGAAUAUUCCUGGUCCUCUCGCUCUGUCCGCAAGGAUGGCGGCGCUGCGUCUGACGCGGCUGCUGUAUAGAGAGAUGUGUUUUCCGGAACUGCUCUUGAUGAUCUCGUCCCCGUCUGCGGUCUGCCCUUGGGCGCGCGGGCGGGGUGGGUGUCGGUGGACGUCUGACAGGC
This 279-nucleotide small nucleolar RNA is filed under the name Tolypocladium ophioglossoides CBS 100239. RNAcentral's name for it is "Fungal small nucleolar RNA U3". It matches the Rfam family "Fungal small nucleolar RNA U3". Rfam says of the family: Small nucleolar RNAs (snoRNAs) are involved in the processing and modification of rRNA in the nucleolus. There are two main classes of snoRNAs: the box C/D class, and the box H/ACA class. U3 snoRNA is a member of the box C/D class. The record is from Rfam by way of RNAcentral. Lineage: Eukaryota; Fungi; Ascomycota; Sordariomycetes; Hypocreales; Ophiocordycipitaceae.